GAGUUUGAUCAUGGCUCAGGAUGAACGCUGGCGGCGUGCUUAACACAUGCAAGUCGAACGAUUAAAGCCCCUUCGGGGUGUAUAGAGUGGCGAACGGGUGAGUAACACGUGGGCAACCUGCCCUAGAGACCGGGACAACAGUUCGAAAGGACUGCUAAUACCGGAUGACGUGCGAUCUGCCAAGCGGAUCGCACUAAAUGGUAGCUUCGGCCUCCGCUCUGGGAUGGGCCCGCGCAGCAUUAGCUUGUUGGUGAGGUAACGGCUCACCAAGGCCACGAUGCUUAGCUGGUCUGAGAGGACGAUCAGCCACACUGGGACUGAGACACGGCCCAGACUCCUACGGGAGGCAGCAGUGGGGAAUCUUGCGCAAUGGGCGAAAGCCUGACGCAGCAACGCCGCGUGAGCGAAGACGGCCUUCGGGUUGUAAAGCUCUGUCAGGAGGGACGAAGCCACUCGGGUUAAUAGCCCAGAGGGUGACGGUACCUCCAGAGGAAGCCCCGGCUAACUACGUGCCAGCAGCCGCGGUAAUACGUAGGGGGCAAGCGUUGUCCGGAAUCAUUGGGCGUAAAGAGCGUGUAGGCGGCCAUCCAAGUCCGAUGUGAAAGCUCGGGGCUCAACCCCGAGUCUGGAUUGNAAACUGGGUGGCUAGAGUCCGGAAGAGGAGACUGGAAUUCCUGGUGUAGCGGUGAAAUGC
Molecule: ribosomal RNA, 694 nt
Filed under: uncultured bacterium
Lineage: Bacteria
Description: bacterial SSU rRNA
Rfam family: Bacterial small subunit ribosomal RNA
Source: RNAcentral